RNAcentral lists this ribosomal RNA (504 nucleotides) under uncultured bacterium. Its description in RNAcentral is "bacterial SSU rRNA". It matches the Rfam family "Bacterial small subunit ribosomal RNA", at positions 355 to 872 of the family's 1533-position model. The record is from RNAcentral.
UGGGGAAUCUUCCGCAAUGGGCGCAAGCCUGACGGAGCAACGCCGCGUGAGCGAAGAAGGCCUUCGGGUUGUAAAGCUCUGUCCAGGGGGAAGAAGUGAGUGACGGUACCCUUGGAGGAAGCCCCGGCUAACUACGUGCCAGCAGCCGCGGUAAAACGUAGGGGGCGAGCGUUGUCCGGAAUUACUGGGCGUAAAGGGCGUGUAGGCGGCCUUGCAAGUCGGGAGUGAAACCCGCCGGCUCAACCGGCGGCCUGCUUUUGAAACUGCAGGGCUUGAGUGCAGGAGAGGGGAGUGGAAUUCCCAGUGUAGCGGUGAAAUGCGUAGAUAUUGGGAGGAACACCGGUGGCGAAAGCGGCUCUCUGGCCUGUAACUGACGCUGAGGCGCGAAAGCGUGGGGAGCAAACAGGAUUAGAUACCCUGGUAGUCCACGCCGUAAACGAUGGGUGCUAGGUGUUGCGGGUAUCGACCCCUGCAGUGCCGCAGUUAACGCAAUAAGCACCCCGC